UGAGGAACAUGACCUUCGGCGGGGGAUAGCCGGCCCAACGGCCGGGUAAUACCGCGUACGACCUUUUGGGGACAUCCCCGAAUGGUGAAAGCAGCAAUGCGCCGAUGGAGUGCCUCGCGGCCUAUCAGCUAGUUGGUGAGGUAAUAGCUCACCAAGGCGAUGACGGGUAGCCGGCCUGAGAGGGUGACCGGCCACACUGGGACUGAGACACGGCCCAGACUCCUACGGGAGCAGCAGG
Molecule: ribosomal RNA, 238 nt
Filed under: uncultured bacterium
Lineage: Bacteria
Description: partial 16S ribosomal RNA
Rfam family: Bacterial small subunit ribosomal RNA
Source: RNAcentral